AUGGCCAUAUCACGUAGAAACACCGGUUCUCAUACGAUCAACAGAAGUUAAACAACAUCGAACCUGGUCAGUACCUAGAUGGGUGACCGCUUGGGAAUACCAGGUGCUGUAAG
This 113-nucleotide ribosomal RNA is filed under the name Acanthosepion pharaonis. Lineage: Eukaryota; Metazoa; Mollusca; Cephalopoda; Sepiida; Sepiidae. The record is from RNAcentral.